CGUGUAGGCGGUGUGGUAAGUCGGAUGUGAAAUCUCCAGGCUCAACCUGGAAACUGCAUUCGAAACUGCCAUGCUUGAGUACCGGAGAGGGAGACGGAAUUCCUGGUGUAGGGGUGAAAUCUGUAGAUAUCAGGAAGAACACCGGUGGCGAAGGCGGUCUCCUGGCCGGAUACUGACGCUGAGGCGCGAAAGCUAGGGGAGCAAAACA
Molecule: ribosomal RNA, 208 nt
Filed under: uncultured bacterium
Lineage: Bacteria
Description: partial 16S ribosomal RNA
Rfam family: Bacterial small subunit ribosomal RNA
Source: RNAcentral